RNAcentral lists this ribosomal RNA (447 nucleotides) under uncultured bacterium. RNAcentral describes it as "bacterial SSU rRNA". It matches the Rfam family "Bacterial small subunit ribosomal RNA", at positions 355 to 825 of the family's 1533-position model. The record is from RNAcentral.
UCGGGAAUUUUGGGCAAUGGGCGAAAGCCUGACCCAGCAACGCCGCGUGAAGGAUGAGGUAUUUCGGUAUGUAAACUUCGAAAGAAUAGGAAGAAUAAAUGACGGUACUAUUUAUAAGGUCCGGCUAACUACGUGCCAGCAGCCGCGGUAAUACGUAGGGACCAAGCGUUGUUCGGAUUUACUGGGCGUAAAGGGCGCGUAGGCGGCAAUUCAAGUCAUCUGUGAAAUCUCCGGGCUUAACUCGGAACGGUCAGAUGAUACUGCUUUGCUAGAGUGCAGAAGGGGCAAUCGGAAUUCUUGGUGUAGCGGUGAAAUGCGUAGAUAUCAAGAGGAACACCUGAGGUGAAGACGGGUUGCUGGGCUGACACUGACGCUGAGGCGCGAAAGCCAGGGGAGCAAACGGGAUUAGAUACCCCCGUAGUCCCUGAGCGGGCUGGCAAGGCGCAU